AUCUUUUCUUGGCUUUUAGCUAAAAAAAAAAAAAAAAAUCUGUUCUUAUCAGUUUAAUAUCUGAUACGUCCCCUACCCGGGACCAUAUAUUAAAUUGAUUUUUGGAGCAGGGAGAUGGAAUAGGGCUUGCUCCGUCCACUCCACGCAUCGACCUGGUAUUGCAGUAUUUCUAGGAACGGUGCACCCCCU
Molecule: small nuclear RNA, 189 nt
Filed under: Maylandia zebra (zebra mbuna)
Lineage: Eukaryota; Metazoa; Chordata; Actinopteri; Cichliformes; Cichlidae
Description: U2 spliceosomal RNA (ENSMZEG00005028190.1)
Rfam family: U2 spliceosomal RNA
About the family: U2 is a small nuclear RNA (snRNA) component of the spliceosome (involved in pre-mRNA splicing). Complementary binding between U2 snRNA (in an area lying towards the 5' end but 3' to hairpin I) and the branchpoint sequence (BPS) of the intron results the bulging out of an unpaired adenosine, on the BPS, which initiates a nucleophilic attack at the intronic 5' splice site, thus starting the first of two transesterification reactions that mediate splicing.
Source: Rfam by way of RNAcentral